This 253-nucleotide ribosomal RNA is filed under the name uncultured bacterium. Its description in RNAcentral is "partial 16S ribosomal RNA". It matches the Rfam family "Bacterial small subunit ribosomal RNA", at positions 524 to 776 of the family's 1533-position model. The record is from RNAcentral.
GACGUAGGAUGCAAGCGUUAUCCGGAAUUAUUGGGCGUAAAGCGUUCGUAGGUGGUUUGUUAAGUUAGAUGUUAAAUCCCUGAGCUCAACUCAGGAUUGGUAUCUAAAACUGGCAGGCUGGAGACAGGUAGAGGUAGAUGGAACUCUGUGUGUAGGGGUAAUAUCCGUAGAUAUACAGAAGAACACCAAAAGCGAAGGCAAUCUACUGGACCUGUUCUGACACUCAAGAACGAAAGCGUGGGGAGCAAACAGG